GCGGUGGUAGUCUAGUGGUGAAGACGCUGCUCUCCCAGUCACUCUUGCCGUCUCUGGCAAACGGAAACCGUGAAGCAGAAAUCGUGAGUUCGAACCUCGCCCACCGCA
Molecule: non-coding RNA, 108 nt
Organism: Delphinella strobiligena
Lineage: Eukaryota; Fungi; Ascomycota; Dothideomycetes; Dothideales; Dothioraceae
Source: the annotation of a GenBank genome assembly